GACGAACGCUGGCGGCGUGCUUAACACAUGCAAGUCGAACGGAAAGGCCCCCUUGUGGGGUACUCGAGUGGCGAACGGGUGAGUGACACGUGAGUAACCUACCCUUGACUUUGGGAUAACUUCAGGAAACUGGGGCUAAUACCGGAUAGGAGCUCCUGCUGCAUGGUGGGGGUUGGAAAGUUUCGGCGGUUGGGGAUGGACUCGCGGCUUAUCAGCUUGUUGGUGGGGUAGUGGCUCACCAAGGCUUUGACGGGUAGCCGGCCUGAGAGGGUGACCGGCCACAUUGGGACUGAGAUACGGCCCAGACUCCUACGGGAGGCAGCAGUGGGGAAUAUUGCACAAUGGGCGGAAGCCUGAUGCAGCAACGCCGCGUGCGGGAUGACGGCCUUCGGGUUGUAAACCGCUUUCGCCUGUGACGAAGCGUGAGUGACGGUAAUGGGUAAAGAAGCACCGGCUAACUACGUG
Molecule: ribosomal RNA, 465 nt
Filed under: uncultured bacterium
Lineage: Bacteria
Description: partial 16S ribosomal RNA
Rfam family: Bacterial small subunit ribosomal RNA
Source: RNAcentral